Non-coding RNA from Pseudophryne corroboree (corroboree frog), 531 nucleotides. The record is from the annotation of a RefSeq genome assembly. Lineage: Eukaryota; Metazoa; Chordata; Amphibia; Anura; Myobatrachidae.
GCAGAACAGAGAGCUUCACAUCUGCCAUGAAUUAUCUUAGUUUUAUUCAUUUUCUCAUAGUGUUUGGUGUGUACCGAUGUGAGGUGUUCCAGAAUGAUCAGAUUAGAGUAAAUGAAGGACAACAAGUGACGAUCUCAUGCUACCAGAAUGUUACCAGUAAGGACACCAUGUUCUGGUACAAAAAAAAUGUCUAUGGAAGGAUUGAAUUUCUUGCCAGUGGAUUUGAGGGCACAAGAGAUGCUGGAACAUUUACAAUGUCAGUAAAUCCAGAUGAGAGAACAACGAGUCUGAAGAAGAGUAACGCUGAACCUGAAGACACCGCUCUGUACUUCUGUGCAGUUAGAGACACAGUGAUCCCACCUGGGGCAGCCAGCGUUCAGGAACUGCUGUCACUUAAAGUACUGUAUGUAGCUGUCAGAUGCAAGCUGCCAAAUGAAAAGGACCUGCAUAUAUGCAGUAACUGUGAAUGUUUGCAUUGCCUAUUUAUUUAAGGCAACUUGUAUUUUAGGUUUAAUGAAUUUUUAAACUAUA